This 527-nucleotide ribosomal RNA is filed under the name uncultured Veillonella sp. Its description in RNAcentral is "bacterial SSU rRNA". It matches the Rfam family "Bacterial small subunit ribosomal RNA", at positions 166 to 694 of the family's 1533-position model. Lineage: Bacteria; Bacillati; Bacillota; Negativicutes; Veillonellales; Veillonellaceae. The record is from RNAcentral.
CGGCCGCGUCGACCAUCUAUCCUCGAUGAAAGGUGGCCUCUACAUGUAAGCUAUCACUGAAGGAGGGGAUUGCGUCUGAUUAGCUAGUUGGAGGGGUAACGGCCCACCAAGGCGAUGAUCAGUAGCCGGUCUGAGAGGAUGAACGGCCACAUUGGGACUGAGACACGGCCCAGACUCCUACGGGAGGCAGCAGUGGGGAAUCUUCCGCAAUGGACGAAAGUCUGACGGAGCAACGCCGCGUGAGUGAUGACGGCCUUCGGUUGUAAAGCUCUGUUAAUCGGGACGAAAGGCCUUCUUGCGAAUAGUGAGAAGGAUUGACGGUACCGGAAUAGAAAGCCACGGCUAACUACGUGCCAGCAGCCGCGGUAAUACGUAGUGGCAGCGUGUCGAAUAUUGGCGUAAGCGCGCGCAGGCGGAUAGGUCAGUCUGUCUUAAAGUUCGGGCUUAACCCCGUGAUGGGAUGGAACUGCCAAUCUAGAGUAUCGGAGAGGAAAGUGGAAUUCCUAGUGUAGCGUGAAAUGCGUAAG